CCAGAGGCCACCACCCGGGUCUGCCUGUCUGUCCUAGAUGAGCACACGCUGGCCGUGCUGACCAAGGAGGACGCUCUGUACUUCGGGAGUCUGGAAUUCCUGUCCAACUCCAUCAUCCAGGCCUGGCUCCCCUAGCUGCCCGAGGGCUCCGUCUGGUUCCCAGAGGCGGUGCUGAUGUUCUCCGGGGUGGGGAUGCUGGACAUCCUG
This 207-nucleotide long non-coding RNA is filed under the name Ictidomys tridecemlineatus (thirteen-lined ground squirrel). RNAcentral's name for it is "lncRNA (ENSSTOG00000034644.1)". The record is from RNAcentral. Lineage: Eukaryota; Metazoa; Chordata; Mammalia; Rodentia; Sciuridae.